GCCGGGCGUUGUGGCGGGCGCCUGUGGUCCCAGCUACUUGGGAGGCUGAGGCAGGAGACUCGCUUGAGCCCAGGAGUUGGAGGUUGCUGUGAGCUGUGAUGCCAUGGCACUCUCUACAAGGGCAAUAAAGUGAGACUCUGUCUCUA
RNAcentral lists this non-coding RNA (146 nucleotides) under Otolemur garnettii (small-eared galago). The record is from Rfam by way of RNAcentral. Lineage: Eukaryota; Metazoa; Chordata; Mammalia; Primates; Galagidae.